GACGAACGCUGGCGGCGUGCUUAACACAUGCAAGUCGAACGGAAAGGCCCUGCUUUUGUGGGGUGCUCGAGUGGCGAACGGGUGAGUAACACGUGAGUAACCUGCCCUUGACUUUGGGAUAACUUCAGGAAACUGGGGCUAAUACCGGAUAGGAGCUCCUGCUGCAUGGUGGGGGUUGGAAAGUUUCGGCGGUUGGGGAUGGACUCGCGGCUUAUCAGCUUGCUGGUGGGGUAGUGGCUUACCAAGGCUUUGACGGGUAGCCGGCCUGAGAGGGUGACCGGCCACAAUGGUACUGAGAUACGGCCCAGACUCCUACGGGAGGCAGCAGUGGAAAGUAUUGCACAAUAGGCGGAAGCCUGAUACAGCGGCGCCGCGUGCGUAAUGACGGCCUUCGGGUUGUAAACCGCUUUCGCCUGUGACGAAGCGUGAGUGACGGUAAUGAGUAAAGAAGCACCGGCUAACUACGUG
This 468-nucleotide ribosomal RNA is filed under the name uncultured bacterium. RNAcentral describes it as "partial 16S ribosomal RNA". It matches the Rfam family "Bacterial small subunit ribosomal RNA", at positions 28 to 507 of the family's 1533-position model. The record is from RNAcentral.